AGUGGGGAAUCUUGCGCAAUGGCCGAAAGGCUGACGCAGCGACGCCGCGUGUGGGAUGACGGCCUUCGGGUUGUAAACCACUGUCGGGAGGGACGAAGCUCUGACGGUACCUCCAAAGGAAGCACCGGCUAACUCUGUGCCAGCAGCCGCGGUAAUACAGAGGGUGCGAGCGUUGUCCGGAAUCACUGGGCGUAAAGGGCGCGUAGGCGGCCUGGUAAGUCGGGGGUGAAACGCUGCGGCUCAACCGCAGCACUGCCUUCGAGACUGUCAGGCUUGAGCACGGUAGAGGCUGGUGGAAUUCCCGGUGUAGCGGUGGAAUGCGUAGAGAUCGGGAAGAACAUCGGUGGCGAAGGCGGCCAGCUGGGCCGUUGCUGACGCUGAGGCGCGACAGCGUGGGGAGCAAA
RNAcentral lists this ribosomal RNA (404 nucleotides) under uncultured Gemmatimonadaceae bacterium. RNAcentral describes it as "bacterial SSU rRNA". It matches the Rfam family "Bacterial small subunit ribosomal RNA", at positions 353 to 772 of the family's 1533-position model. Lineage: Bacteria; Pseudomonadati; Gemmatimonadota; Gemmatimonadia; Gemmatimonadales; Gemmatimonadaceae. The record is from RNAcentral.